Molecule: ribosomal RNA, 392 nt
Filed under: uncultured bacterium
Lineage: Bacteria
Description: bacterial SSU rRNA
Rfam family: Bacterial small subunit ribosomal RNA
Source: RNAcentral
GACGAACGCUGGCGGCGUGCUUAACACAUGCAAGUCGAGCGGUAAGGCCCUUUCGGGGGUACACGAGCGGCGAACGGGUGAGUAACACGUGGGUGACCUGCCCUCAGCUCUGGGAUAAGCCUGGGAAACCGGGUCUAAUACCGGAUAUGACUCCAUGACGCAUGUUGUGGGGUGGAAAGCCUUGUGCGGCUGAGGAUGGGCCCGCGGCCUAUCAGCUUGUUGGUGGGGUGAUGGCCUACCAAGGCGACGACGGGUAGCCGGCCUGAGAGGGCGACCGGCCACACUGGGGACUGAGACACGGCCCAGACUCCUACGGGAGGCAGCAGUGGGGAAUCUUGCGCAAUGGGCGAAAGCCUGACGCAGCGACGCCGCGUGAGGGAUGACGGCCUGGU